GGUUCGGUGGUGUAGUUGGUUAUCACGUCAGUCUAACAUUCCUCUGGAAUUCUUAAACACUGAAGGUCCCGAGUUCAAACCUCGGCUGAAUCA
Molecule: non-coding RNA, 93 nt
Organism: Plenodomus tracheiphilus IPT5
Lineage: Eukaryota; Fungi; Ascomycota; Dothideomycetes; Pleosporales; Leptosphaeriaceae
Source: the annotation of a GenBank genome assembly